This 745-nucleotide ribosomal RNA is filed under the name uncultured cyanobacterium. Its description in RNAcentral is "bacterial SSU rRNA". It matches the Rfam family "Bacterial small subunit ribosomal RNA", at positions 63 to 850 of the family's 1533-position model. Lineage: Bacteria; Bacillati; Cyanobacteriota. The record is from RNAcentral.
CGAACGGGAAUCUUCGGAUUCUAGUGGCGGACGGGUGAGUAACGCGUAAGAAUCUAACUUCAGGACGGGGACAACAGUUGGAAACGACUGCUAAUACCCGAUGUGCCGCAAGGUGAAAACUAAUUGGCCUGAAGAAGAGCUUGCGUCUGAUUAGCUAGUUGGUGGGGUAAGAGCCUACCAAGGCGACGAUCAGUAGCUGGUCUGAGAGGAUGAGCAGCCACACUGGGACUGAGACACGGCCCAGACUCCUACGGGAGGCAGCAGUGGGGAAUUUUCCGCAAUGGGCGAAAGCCUGACGGAGCAACGCCGCGUGAGGGAGGAAGGUCUUUGGAUUGUAAACCUCUUUUCUCAAGGAAGAAGUUCUGACGGUACUUGAGGAAUCAGCCUCGGCUAACUCCGUGCCAGCAGCCGCGGUAAUACGGGGGAGGCAAGCGUUAUCCGGAAUUAUUGGGCGUAAAGCGUCCGCAGGUGGUCAGCCAAGUCUGCCGUCAAAUCAGGUUGCUUAACGACCUAAAGGCGGUGGAAACUGGCAGACUAGAGAGCAGUAGGGGUAGCAGGAAUUCCCAGUGUAGCGGUGAAAUGCGUAGAGAUUGGGAAGAACAUCGGUGGCGAAAGCGUGCUACUGGGCUGUAUCUGACACUCAGGGACGAAAGCUAGGGGAGCGAAAGGGAUUAGAUACCCCUGUAGUCCUAGCCGUAAACGAUGGAUACUAGGCGUGGCUUGUAUCGACCCGAGCCGUGCCGAA